RNAcentral lists this transfer RNA (90 nucleotides) under Fulvia fulva CBS 131901. RNAcentral describes it as "tRNA-Und (NNN) (tRNA-Und-NNN-31-1)". The record is from RNAcentral. Lineage: Eukaryota; Fungi; Ascomycota; Dothideomycetes; Mycosphaerellales; Mycosphaerellaceae.
GCUGUCGUGGUCCAGUGGCAAGAUCAUGGGAGGGACGGUUGCUGAACGCGGAAGCCCCAUGGACGUGAGCUCGAUUCUCGCCGGCAGUCA